AUUGAACGCUAGCGGGAUGCCUUACACAUGCAAGUCGAACGGAGUGGCGAACGGGUGAGGAAGGUAUCGGAACGGGCCCCGGAGCGGGGGAUAACUACGAGAAAGCGUAGCUAAUACCGAAAACUAUUGGAGCGGCAGUUAUCGGAUUAGCUAGUUGGUGGGGUAACGGCUCACCAAGGCGACGAUCCCUAGCUGGUUUGAGUGGAAGACCAGCCACACUGGGACUGAGACACGGCCCAGACUCCUACGGGAGGCAGCAGUGGGGAAUUUUGGACAAUGGGGGAAACCCUGAUCCAGCCAUCCCGCGUGUGCGAUGAAGGCCUUCGGGUUGUAAAGCACUUUUGGCAGGAAAGCGGUACCUGCAGAAUAAGCACCGGCUAACUACGUGCCAGCAGCCGCGGUAAUUC
RNAcentral lists this ribosomal RNA (407 nucleotides) under uncultured bacterium. RNAcentral describes it as "partial 16S ribosomal RNA". It matches the Rfam family "Bacterial small subunit ribosomal RNA", at positions 30 to 526 of the family's 1533-position model. The record is from RNAcentral.